CCAUCAUCACCAUCACCCUGACUAGUCUUUCAGGCGAUUGGUGCUGGGAGACGAAAAGAUCUUCCAGUGGUGCGUGAACGCGAGAUAAAGCCCCCGGAAGAUUUCUUCCGGGGGCUUUUUUUU
Cedecea davisae DSM 4568 is the source of this 123-nucleotide non-coding RNA. NCBI's taxonomy places the organism in Bacteria, Pseudomonadati, Pseudomonadota, Gammaproteobacteria, Enterobacterales, Enterobacteriaceae. The record is from Rfam.